Molecule: long non-coding RNA, 671 nt
Filed under: Nicotiana tabacum (common tobacco)
Lineage: Eukaryota; Viridiplantae; Streptophyta; Magnoliopsida; Solanales; Solanaceae
Description: long non-coding RNA (NTAB_LNC007727)
Source: RNAcentral
GACCCCAAAAAAAUCGUAAUGAUAUUGUUCCCUUGAGAUUUACAAAAACGCCAAUGCACUUCAAAGCUUCAUUAUCCAUGUGUCUUUCUAAGUCCAUGCCUUUACCAAGUCAAAAUUCCUUCAUAUUAGUUGGUCUCACAACCUUCAAAAAUACGUGUAACCAAGAUCUGAAAUUAAAAAGAAAAAAAAAGGCUAUCACCAACUGAUUAAGGGAAAGGGCAAGUAGCAAAACAACAUUAAAGCCUUUUUACCUCAUAUGUAGUAACUGUAACCAUGUUUGCAAGAAAUUCACCUACACAAAGUAAAUUGAAAUAAACAAUAAAGAUAGAAAAUCAAUGCUUUUGAUCUGAAUAUCACAAAUCUUAUUUAUCUCGAAAAAGAAAAGGCCAAACUUAUAAAAAAAUGAGUUAGAGUUGAUGAACCUGAUCAGAAAUCUUCACUCCGACAACAGGUAUGGCGAAAAUUUCAGUUCCGGCUAGCGGCACUUCUAGGUUUUGCAACGAAACAAAGAUUAAAAAAGAAAAUCUCCAGCCUAUAGAUUGCAAAUCUAGGGCUAUGAACAUAACAACGAAAAGCUGCCAAAAACAAGACAUAGAAGAUUCAGAUAUAUAAAUCUAAAAUUAAGGAAAAUCUUACCCGCCUAUUGGGAUCAAAACCAACGAAAGAAGUCG